Ictidomys tridecemlineatus (thirteen-lined ground squirrel) is the source of this 69-nucleotide non-coding RNA. Lineage: Eukaryota; Metazoa; Chordata; Mammalia; Rodentia; Sciuridae. The record is from Rfam.
GGGGAUGUAGCUCAGUUGGUAGAGUACUUGUCUCACAUGCACAAGCCCUGGGUUCAAUCCCCAGCACCA